Molecule: ribosomal RNA, 276 nt
Filed under: uncultured bacterium
Lineage: Bacteria
Description: partial 16S ribosomal RNA
Rfam family: Bacterial small subunit ribosomal RNA
Source: RNAcentral
GUGCCUAACACAUGCAAGUCGAACGAGAAAGUGGAGCAAUCCAUGAGUAAAGUGGCGACCGGGUGAGUAACACGUGACUAACCUACCUUCGAGUGGGGGAUAACCUAGGGAAACCUGGGCUAAUACCGCAUAAUGCCUUCGGGUUAAAGGAGCAAUUCGCUUGAAGAGGGGGUCGCGGCCGAUUAGGUAGUUGGCGGGGUAACGGCCCACCAAGCCCGUGAUCGGUAGCCGGCCUGAGAGGGCGCACGGCCACACUGGAACUGAAACACGGUCCAG